RNAcentral lists this unclassified non-coding RNA (459 nucleotides) under Hevea brasiliensis (rubber tree). Lineage: Eukaryota; Viridiplantae; Streptophyta; Magnoliopsida; Malpighiales; Euphorbiaceae. The record is from RNAcentral.
CAGCUCCAGGACAUGUACCUGAGUCGCAAGUCUUUUGCAUUUGAUUGUGAUGCUCCAGGGGCAGGCAUGCGAGAGCAACGCAAGACAUUUGAGCUUGCUCUAGCAACAGCAGAUGCCACAUUCCAGAACCUAGACUCAUCAGAGAUUUCACUAACAGAUGUGAGCCACUACUUUGACUCAGACCCGACAAAGCUGGUGCAAGGACUGCGCAAGGAUGGGCGGGCACCUUCCUCAUACAUAGCAGAUACAACCACAGCAAAUGCACAGGUGAGGACAUUGUCAGAGACAGUGCGCCUUGAUGCAAGGACAAAGCUACUGAACCCUAAGUGGUACGAGGGGAUGAUGAAAAGUGGCUACGAGGGAGUUAGAGAGAUUGAGAAGCGGCUGACAAAUACUGUUGGAUGGAGUGCAACAUCUGGACAGGUUGACAACUGGGUUUAUGAGGAGGCAAAUGCCACA